AUCGCAUGAUAUUUUUAUUAAAGAAUUUCGGUUAUCGAUGGGGAUGCGUUCCAUUAGUUUGUUGGCGGGGUAACGGCCCACCAAGACUACGAUGGAUAGGGGUUCUGAGAGGAAGGUCCCCCACAUUGGAACUGAGACACGGUCCAAACUCCUACGGGAGGCAGCAGUGAGGAAUAUUGGUCAAUGGGCGAGAGCCUGAACCAGCCAAGUAGCGUGAAGGAUGAAGGCUCUAUGGGUCGUAAACUUCUUUUAUAUGGGAAUAAAGUUUUCCACGUGUGGAAUUUUGUAUGUACCAUAUGAAUAAGGAUCGGCUAACUCCGUGCCAGCAGCCGCGGUAAUACGGAGGAUCCGAGCGUUAUCCGGAUUUAUUGGGUUUAAAGGGAGCGUAGGUGGAUUGUUAAGUCAGUUGUGAAAGUUUGCGGCUCAACCGUAAAAUUGCAGUUGAAACUGGCAGUCUUGAGUACAGUAGAGGUGGGCGGAAUUCGUGGCGUAGCGGUGAAAUGCUUAGAUACCACGAAGAACUCCGAUUGCGAAGGCAGCUCACUAGACUGUCACUGACACUGAUGCUCGAAAGUGUGGGUAU
Molecule: ribosomal RNA, 583 nt
Filed under: uncultured bacterium
Lineage: Bacteria
Description: bacterial SSU rRNA
Rfam family: Bacterial small subunit ribosomal RNA
Source: RNAcentral